ACAAAUACAUCUCGCAAUCGAAACCUAAAGCUCACAAGUCACAAAGCAAUUUGUGUCUUUCUCUCCUUCUCUCCCCCCCUGCUCGCCGCCGCCUCCCCUCGCCGAUCCGGGGGAGACGAGACUCUCUAGAUCCCUCGCUGUUCCUCGUGUUUGACCAGAUCCUCGUUAAUUUCUGUUCGAUCGAUCUUAAUACGCGUUUCAAUUCUUCGUCGUCUUUCCUGUUACCGUUAGUUUUCUUCUUGUUAUUUUGUUCUGCUCUGUUUCUUCUAACCAUGGAUGCAGGAUACCGCUCGAUCUCUUCCGAGAAGAGCCGCGCCGUGCAGCGGCCGCCCCUCCAGGAGGCCGGAUCCCGCCCCUACAUGCCAUCGCUGAGCACCUCCUCGCGCGACCCGUCGGCCAAGUGCUACGGAGACAGGUUCAUCCCGAACAGGUCAGCGAUGGACAUGGACAUGGCGCACUACCUGCUCACGGAGCCCAAGAAGGACAAGGAGAACAUGGCCUCGUCCCCAUCCAAGGAGGCCUACAGGAAGCUUCUCACCGAGAAGCUGCUCAAUAACAGGACGCGGAUCCUCGCCUUCAGGAACAAGCCGCCGGAGCCUGAGAACAUCUUGGCUGCUGACACGGUUUCUUCUCACCAGGCCAAGCCGGCCAAGCAGAGGCGCUACAUUCCCCAGUCUGCCGAGAGGACUCUGGAUGCACCAGACCUUGUCGAUGACUACUACCUGAACCUAAUGGACUGGGGGAGCAGCAACGUGCUGUCCAUUGCGCUGGGCGACACGAUGUACCUGUGGGAGGCCUCGAGUGGAUCCACAUCUGAGCUUGUGACAGUCGACGAGGACAAGGGACCCAUCACCAGCGUCAGCUGGGCCCCUGAUGGCCGGCAUCUUGCCAUUGGGCUUAACUCGUCUGACAUCCAGCUCUGGGACACCAGCUCCAGUCGACUGUUGAGAACUCUGAAGGGUGUGCAUGAGUCAAGAGUUGGUUCACUGGCAUGGAACAACAACAUCCUGACGACUGGCGGCAUGGACGGUAGGAUCGUGAACAAUGAUGUAAGGAUCAGGGACCAUGCCGUGCAGACAUACCAGGGGCACAGCCAGGAGGUGUGUGGGCUCAAGUGGUCUGGGUCAGGGCAGCAACUGGCGAGCGGGGGCAACGACAACCUUCUGCACAUUUGGGAUGUGCCUAUGGCGUCGUCCAUGCCAUCUGCAGGCCGCAACCAGUGGCUGCACAGGCUCGAAGACCACACGGCUGCUGUGAAGGCGCUCGCAUGGUGCCCAUUCCAGAGCAACUUGCUGGCAACUGGCGGUGGCGGUAGCGAUCGGUGCAUCAAGUUCUGGAACACACACACCGGUGCAUGCCUGAACUCUGUUGAUACCGGAUCACAGGUGUGUGCUCUUCUUUGGAACAAGAAUGAGAGGGAGCUGCUGAGUUCACACGGAUUCACGCAGAACCAACUGACUCUGUGGAAGUACCCUUCGAUGGUCAAGAUGGCUGAACUCACUGGCCACACCUCCCGUGUCCUUUUCAUGGCUCAGAGUCCUGAUGGUUGCACGGUAGCAUCAGCUGCUGCAGAUGAGACCCUCCGCUUCUGGAACGUGUUUGGCACUCCUGAAGUAGCUAAGCCUGCAGCCAAGGCUUCGCACACUGGGAUGUUCAACAGCUUCAACCAUAUCCGAUAAGAGAGAUGUAAACCGCAGCACAUUUUCUAUUGCCUCCAUCAGCGCCCCUUGGCAAGGCGAAAUGGACUUCGCAGAGGGCUGCCGAGCUUGAGGAGGAACUUGAUCUUCGAGUGGCUAUAACGCUGUCUGUGUGGAAUGGUGCUCUGGAUGCGGGAGUGGCUGCAGGAGUCAUCCAUCCAUUGGCAAGAAGAUCACCAGGCUCUAUCUCGCCCCUUCUGAAUGUUUCUACCUGGGUGGCAAUAGGUCUCUUGCGUGCCGCUCGGGUGAAUCAUCAUAGCUCUGGCCUCUGGGGCUUCAAGAGGGAUGAGAUCGACAGACUUGCAAACCUGCGCCCCCAAGAAUUCCGAAAACGUUGCUUCCACUUGUCCUGAGCUAGAUGCCAUGAGAGGUGACAUUGCACUCACAACCUCUGUUGAUCAUUUGAUCCACCUCUGAAGCUGCUCAGGGAGCUUGGAAUUCAUGGACAUGCUAAUCUAACAAAACGUGAUACCAGAAGAGUUGGUACUGGAUGACCAGUGCUUUAGCAAGAUCAUAAAAAACUUGUUUCUAUUGGCUUGACAGUGUUGCUUAUGGUGACUCGGCAACUUUAAGUGCAACAGCAUACUGUGAUACUUGCUAAGCUUGGGACUUUCUGAUUACAUGUAUUCACUUUGCUUGUA
This is an RNA transcript of Brachypodium distachyon (stiff brome), 2338 nucleotides long. It is a transcript of the gene named cell division cycle 20.2, cofactor of APC complex, with no coding region annotated. The record is from RefSeq and is a predicted model, not a curated record. Lineage: Eukaryota; Viridiplantae; Streptophyta; Magnoliopsida; Poales; Poaceae. The transcript has 7 exons.